AAGUAAGUACCUAAGCGGAUAAAAGGAAUAGAUUGUAGAUCUAUUGAUUAAAAUUCUACAUCAGUUCGAAUCUGAUCUUACUUA
RNAcentral lists this transfer RNA (84 nucleotides) under Babesia sp. Xinjiang. It matches the Rfam family "tRNA". From Rfam's summary of the family: Transfer RNA (tRNA) molecules are approximately 80 nucleotides in length. Their secondary structure includes four short double-helical elements and three loops (D, anti-codon, and T loops). RNAcentral also lists the same sequence under 1 other name. Lineage: Eukaryota; Apicomplexa; Aconoidasida; Piroplasmida; Babesiidae. The record is from Rfam by way of RNAcentral.